CCGACGGUGAGAGGCGAAAGCUGGGGGAGCAAACCGGAUUAGAUACCCGGGUAGUCCCAGCUGUAAACGAUGCGCGUUAGGUGUGUCAGUGACCACGUGUCACUGAUGUGCCGAAGGGAAACCGUGAAACGCGCCGCCUGGGGAGUACGGUCGCAAGGCUGAAACUUAAAGGAAUUGGCGGGGGAGCAACACAACGGGUGGAGCCUGCGGUUUAAUCGGACUCAACGCCGGAAAUCUCACCGGAUAA
Molecule: ribosomal RNA, 247 nt
Filed under: uncultured archaeon
Lineage: Archaea
Description: partial 16S ribosomal RNA
Rfam family: Archaeal small subunit ribosomal RNA
Source: RNAcentral